Molecule: long non-coding RNA, 5854 nt
Organism: Mustela lutreola (European mink)
Lineage: Eukaryota; Metazoa; Chordata; Mammalia; Carnivora; Mustelidae
Exons: 2
Source: RefSeq, a predicted model, not a curated record
GGGGGUCGGGGAGAAAAUAUUUACCCUCUGGAGCAAGCAUGGACUUCAUUUAAUUCAAUAAAAAAAAAAGAUUCUGGGUGUCUAUUAUGUAUCAGGUGCUGGUUUCAGAUGUGAUCAAGACGCAGCCCUGUACUCACGGAGUUCAUGGCCUAGGAAGGGAGAAAGACAUGUAAACACAUACAUCAUAAUACAUUGUGACAGUGAAAACAGCAGGUACAAUGGUUGCACAGAAGAGGGAGUGAUGACCUCUCUCUGGGGGGAGUCUCUGAGCCGGUGACCUCCAAGCGGGGCUUUGAAGAUGGAUGGAGUUUGCUAGGUGAGUGAGUGUCAGGUAGAAAAGAUUCCUGGAGACAGAGGGCUAGCACUGUAAAGGCACAGACUCAUAAAACAACACACUUGCCUUUGCUGGACUAUAAAAUGUGGGUGGAGGGGGGAGGAGGAGAGGAAGGGGGAUGUAAACUAUAGAGCAUCGUAUAAGUACACUUGAUUUCAUUUACAUUAAUAUUGCAGCAUCAAAGAGGAAGGGGCAGGAGAUAGGUCAAGAAGAGGUAACUGUGGCCAGAUCAUGAAGAGCCUGGUAUUUACUUGCUUCAGUUGUGUGUAGGCUGAAGGGAGGCAGGGGUGGUGGGAAUGGAGAGGGAACAAGAGGUAAUAAAGGAGUAGGGGUGUUGGGGCUUAGUGAUGGAGUGGAUGUGGGGAGUGAGGGAGGGAGAGGAUCCAAGCCACUCUCAGGUUCACUGGGCCGACACACAAGGAAGCUGUAUGACUGAAGAUAGCAUGAAGGUAGCAAGAAGAGCCGGUCUGGGGGAAUGAGAAGGUAAGGUCUGUGUUGUACAUGUGGAGUUGGCUGUGCCUGUGAACAUCCAGGGGGGAUGUGGGCAGUUGGAAUCACACGCUAGAGGUUCUAUGUGUGAGCUUAUAGAGUCUUUAUGGAGGCAUGUGCGGGGAUAGAACCUGGAGCCCUAGGGUAUAAUAUUGAUAAUGGCUAACAUUUCACGCAUGCUUGCUGUGUGCCAGGCUGUGCUGGGCAUUUCCUAGGCAAUGCCCAAUCAGGGACUAUAUCUGCUUCGCUCAUCAUUUUAUGUCUCAUAACAGGCAUAUCCUGGGUACACCGUAAUGAUUUUGUUCAAUGGGGGCUCCUGUUUUGUCCUCACAACAACCCUAUGGGGCAGGUAGUAUGAGGAUCCUCAUUUUACAGGUGAGGAAAACGAUCUAGAAAAGAUUAAAUUGACCAAGGUCACACACUUGUAUGUAGCAGAUCUGAGAUUUGAGAUCAGCUCUUUGUGACCAUGAAGUCCAAAGUGUUCAACCACUUUGUUGGAAUGUUAAAAUCUGCACCUAAACAUGUACUUAAUGACCCACGGUAAGACUCAAACCCCUUUGAGACUACCACAUCCCGAGUGGGUUUCAAAAAUCUCAGACCUCCCUUUCUAGCUUCAAAACUCUGAUGUCAGAGGACUCCUGUGGAGAUGCGCUGGAGGGGCAUCUUAUCAUUUAGUCUGAAAGGCCUGAGAAGUGGAUGUAGUGCGACACCGCCAACCAAUUAUCACCCAGUUAGCAGCCUGAAACAACACGCGUGUCUUCUCUCAGUUUCUGUGGACUCACUGCUUUAGCUCUGUCCUGUGUUCAAGGUCGUCUCACAAAGCCGCACUCCAGGUGUCAGCCAAACUGAGUUUUCAGCCAGAUGCUUGAGUGGAGAAGAGUCUGCGUCUGAGCUCAUUCUUGUCCCAGGCUUUAUUUCCUCAGGAUUAUAUACCUAAGGCCUGACUUUCUGCUGGCUGUUGGCCAGAGGCCACCGUCAGGUCGAGGAGGCGGCUUCCUCAACAUGGCUGCUCACUUCGUCAAGCCUGCCAGGAGAACCUGCUAGCGUGUGCUGGUAAGAUGGAUAUCUGUCUAUAUAGAUCUCCCUUAUAAAGCAGGAGAUAUAGGUAGAUAUGUAAAUAUUGCAUAUUAUGUAUCAUGGGAGUAACAUCCCAACACCUUUGCCAUAUUCUAUUGCUUAGAGGUGAAUCUUAGGUCCCAUCUGCACUCAAGGGGAGGGAUUUACACAAAGGCGUGGACACCAGAAGGUAGGAAUUACUGGGGGUCCCCCCCAGGGUCCGUCAUCCACAAAGGGUCACAUUACCGGCUCAGAAUUCACAAGUAAUAAUAAAUCCAACUAAAGUUGGUCUGCCUUUUUUUUUUUUUUUAAGAUUGUAUUUAUCUGCCAGAGAGAGAGAGAGUACACACAAUCAGGCAGAGGCAGGCAGAGGCAGCAGAGAAGCAGGCUCCCUGCCAAGCAAGGAGCCUGAUGCGGGACUCGAUCCCGGGAUGCUGGGAUCAUGACCUGAGCCGAAGGCAGCGACUUAACCAACUGAGCCACCCAGGCAUUCCUGUCUGCUUUUUCAUUAAUGUGGUGAACUGUCAAUUUUAGAUGUGGCAAAAUACUCCUUCCUGGAAGAGUCUUCUGUUUUAAGGUCUAAACAGUUGCCCGGAUUACUGUUGUUUUUCACAGUGCACACGUAAGCUUCAUUUUAAAAAUUACUUAUCCUUUAAUGCAUUGUAAUCUACAUGGAAGUAAACUCCAAGUUGUACUAACGGUUGGUCCCCAACACAUGGACUUAGCUAUAUGCCUUCAUUUAAGAGGAAGUCUGUAAUGGUUCAGAGUCAUUUGAAAUUGUUUUGGGUGCAGUGCACUGUCUCCAGCCCUCUGGUAGUACACAGAACUGUGUUUAAAUAGAUUUGAAAUAAACGAGGACAACAGUGACUGUAAAAGCUGAGAAACUGAACUCGAGGUACUUCAGUUCUGUUAUUAUGUAUGACCGUGUGGAGUUUUUGUGUUUAAAAUUUAAUGCUGUGAAGGAAGCGAUGCAAACUGAGACGUGCGAUGUUUUCAUUUGGUAAAUACACAUCGCAGCUAGUACAGGAAAUACUUAAUUGCAUUUAAUAUUAACUUUAGAGCGGAAAAUUCCCUUACGAUUAUUUAUUGUAAAACUGAAGAACGAAUCAAGAAAACAAAACAUUACAACAUUAUAUUUUGGUCGUUGCCUAAUGCUUGGUGAGCUACUGUUUUGCUGCUUAGGAAUAAAAAUAGCCAGUCCCAGCUUGGCUCACCAUGUGCUGGACCCUUCCAAACACACUCACUCACGCUCACCCGGAUCUGUAUGAACUCGUUCAAACGAUCCUAGCAGGUAAGACCAGCUAUUAAUCAUAUCGAUAAAAUACUCUGGGGCACAGAAGGACGGUGAUCUCCUCCAGAUCAUCCAACUAGGGCGGCAGGGCUGGAAUUUGGACCCGGUCCUGUGGCUCCAAUCCCUGAAUUCUUAGCCGCUGGGGAGAAAAGACAAAGCGAAAGCAGCACCCCCAACAGCCCUGCAGACCGAUGGGAGCCCUUCACAAAGGACAGGAGGGCUGCUUUCCAUUCCGGACCUGGCCCUGCUGGCUCCUGGGCGGAGGGAGAGCUGGCUUCCCCAGGGGCUGCUCCCUCGGCGUCCCCUCCUCUGCUAUCAUCUGCCAGGCCCAGGUUUCUCCUUGGCCCUUUCCAGCUUCCGGCCGUUCGCGCCAGGCCAGGUCGCAGGGUCAAGAGCUCGCGAGCCCUCUAUUUACUGUUUGGUUUCCAUGGUGACACGUAGGCGCCGUCAGCGCCUCCCGUCACAGGCCCCGCAGCGCGGCCCCCACCCGGCGCCGUGACGUCUGCCCGCCGCUUCCGCUCUGCCCAUAUUUGGCUUCGCCCGCGAGCCGCGGGGAGGGGAGGAGGCUGCGAGCCGGCCUCCCGCCUCGUCCCGCCCCCUGCUCCCGGCCACGCCCCCGCGGGGUGCUGGCGCGAGCUGUGUGUCACGCGCCUCCCGCCCCCGCCCCUUCCCGCAGAUCCGAGGUGCGGCGAGGGACGGGGGCGUUAGGGACCCCUAGAGAGGGCGUGGGUGAUCGGAUGAGCUCCGAGGUCUCUCAACAAUCUUGCAGGCGAGAUUGGCGGCUGUCUCACCCGUCCCGGCUGGGUGAGCCCGGUUCACGAUUUUGUCACUCCGUGCCGGAAAUCAGGGAAACAGCCGUCCCCAGCCGAACCCUAGUUUGUAUUUUAUAGGCUCGAACUGCAAAUUCUCGCCCAUGGGGCGGUGGAAAGCUUUGAAGCCGGAGGCUCUGGGAUCAGUGCUGCCCCUUGGGGGAUAAGUGACCUUGGGAAGGUCACUUCCCUUUACCCGGCCGGCCGGCUAGAAAGAACUGGUGGGGUUGGGGGGGCGUGAUCGCGCUGUCUGCAGCAGUCUCAGGUGUGUGAGGGGGGUCGUCCGUCACCUUAGAACUGUCCCCUAUCCCCUUGGCGUCAUGGAAUGCCCGUGAAGCUCGCUGAGGACCCCUACAAUUCCGAUCCUGACAGUAGCCGGAAUUGGGUGGCUCUUGCAGCCUCGCUGGGCUGAGGCGCUUAAUUCACUCAGUUAACGGAUGACUGAAUGGGAUCCCAGGCAAAUUACCUUCGGAUUUCACCUUCAUAAAUCCGGAUCCCCGCAAUUCCUCUUGCAGGCGGAAGGAAGAAUAUUGCGAUGAUUAAUAACCGCGCAGCAGGGUUGCUGAGGUAAAGCGAUUUGCAGAUGUAAAGGGCAAUAAGCAUUCCUGGGAGGAACCCAACGAGAUUCCAGAAGCCUCGGCGGGAGCCGUGGGUGUACGCCGCCGGGCCUCGAGGGCGGGUGGGGAGGGAGGCGGGCAGUGCCGCAGAGGCCCCUGCGGGGGACUGACUGCGGGCGCGGGGUAACUCUUCAGGGGGCUCAGUCGCGCGCCUCUCCUCCCGCCGAUUCCCCAGUUUCUCUGGCCAGAGGACUGCGUGUUUUCCAGAACAUCAGAGCUGGAACGCACAGCGGACAUUUCCCCCUACUCCAGCCUUUCCGUUUCACAAAUGGGGACACUAAGGCUCCGAGAAGUAGGUUCAUCCUUCCAAACGUGCACAGCUGGUUGGAGACAGAUGAAGACGAGGAUUUCUGGCUUCAAACCAGAGUGCUUUCCAUCUCACCUCUAACCCCAGUGCUCUUGUGGCUUGGGGACCCUGCUGCUUGGCUCCGGUGGUGGGGUGUGCAGUAGAGCCAAACACUGGCUUUGGGCCUCCUAGAGGACGCCAGUGGGACACCUGCUCCUCCGCACGGCUCACAGCCUGACCCCAGGACCUGCAGCGAUGGCCAGGAGGUGUGAACUGCCAAAGCCACAAAUAUGCCUCCUUAACAGGGGGUUGGAACGGCUUUUCUCGUCCAGAGAACCCGAGUUGGCUGUCCUGAAACCAGUCUUGGACCAGCAGCUGGUCGUUCUUCACAGUUACCCAAGCCCUGCAUGAAGCUUUUCGCAGCCAAGACAAGAGCAGAAGGCACGGAGCCCGAACCCGUGGGAACCCGUUUUUGCGCACUGGAAGACCGAGUACGAAGGCAGCUCAGACUGAGAAGACCCGGCCUCAGGGAUCCCCACCGGCUGGUUAGAGGAGUCUGGGAUCCUUCCCUUCUGAUUGUACUCGGAGCUAGAGCGGUAGAAGCAACAGUUCUGCCCCCUGGUGGACAUGGGAGGCACAGCGCCCUUCUCCAACUCAGAAGCCCCACCGUGGUGCUGCUGCAGGAGAGGAAGGAAGCCCUCUUGGUUCCCUCUGAUAGAGCAAAAUUUGGCACAGGAAAAAUAAUCCCUUUCUGGCUUAAUUCUGAUGAUCUGGUCAGUUUGGAUGCAGAAAAGAUUUGUAUUGUUUCUCUUGCCUGGACUCUGCUGUUCCUUCGUGCUAUCCAAACCCCUACCCCUUUUCUAACUCCUGUUUCAAGUUCUGCCUCCUUCAUAACAACUUUUCUGACUCUCCUCGCCUAUAUGUCUUUUAAAUACAGCGGUGCACAGACCUAGCAUGCGGAGUGCACAUUUA